RNAcentral lists this long non-coding RNA (37821 nucleotides) under Gossypium barbadense (sea-island cotton). RNAcentral describes it as "long non-coding RNA (GBAR_LNC021356)". The record is from RNAcentral. Lineage: Eukaryota; Viridiplantae; Streptophyta; Magnoliopsida; Malvales; Malvaceae.
AAUCAACCUCCUUGCAAUCUCCUAUUGUUAAUCGUUUGAGGUUGGUGAGAUGUUGCAGGCACUCAUCUAGCGUGUGAGUGUCCAACCCCUCAAUGUUGUAUACAUCGAAAGAUUUCAAUUUGGAGAGUGGAAGAGAAGAGGUUGAAGUUGAUGGGGCCUUAGCAUUGAUGUUCAUCUUGAUAGUCUGCUUUAACGGCCUUGAACUGGUAUUCGACAACAUUAGAUAUUCAUCGAGUGAUGGAUACAGUGGCAUUAAAUUCAAAGGGCAAUUUCUAAUGUUUAAAGAGGAAAGACAAGGAAAUGCCAUGGUUGAUGUUCCCAUAACUGUUGUGUCGUCCUCGUUGGAAUCAUCAUCGAUUGGUUUUAUCGUCCUCCACCAACUCUUCAUAUUUGGGCAAUCCCGUAGGCAAAGAUACUUAAGCGAUGGGAAGAAUGAUUGUUGUUCUCCUUGACUUCCUUUUGGGCUAUUAUCAUCCAUGUACUCCAGCUCAGUUAAAUCACAAAUUACCAAAUCUUGAAGACAAGGAAAUUGAGCAAAGGAUGGGAGGUGUUUGAAUUUACUACGAAGACCCAUUAUAUUAAUAUGGACGAGAUUUGUGAGCAAAGGAAGCCAACUUGGAAACUUGGCAUCACCCCUCCAUCCUGAAAUACGUAGCUCCUUGAGAUUAGGAUGGGGCUGGAGGUCUUCAAGUGACUCCUCAUCAUCAUGGUUGCCACCGCCCCAUUCUAAAGCCAACGAUCUCAAAUGUUGCUUCUCUUUCAAAUUAGCAGCCUUAAACUUCUCUUUUGCAUUUUUUACGAAUCCCAAAUUUGUUAUUCUUAACUCUCCCCUUAAGUUGUUAAGCAGUCUCAGUUCACUUAGAUCUGCACCGCCAUGGGACCCAUCUUUAUCCACUACAAACAUGCUUAACGUCUCAAGUGAAGUCAGCUUCCCUAUUCCACGUGGCAUAUGAGUUAAACUAAAACAAUCUUCACACCCAAGAUGGGUAAGAUUCACCAAUUUUUCAAUGUUCUUUGGCAAUUCUUUAAGCCCAGUACACCCAUCAAGUUUCAGCGCUAGCAAAUUCUGAAUCUUGCAAAUACUCUUUGGGAGAAUCUUAAGUCCGGGAUUAUAAGAAAGAUCCAGGUACCUCAAAUGUUUCAACUUACAAAUGGAGGGUGAAAUCUUUUGAAUACCUAUAGAAUUCAAUUUCAAUACACGCAAGCAUCUACAAUUUGCAAUUAUCAAAUCCCAAGUUUCAUAGCUGAAAUCUUGAAUUUUUCUGUCUUGAAAAUGUAACAAGCUUCGCAACUUCUUUCCCUUAAACAAAGGAAUUAAUGAAGGAAUUAAUAAAGGAUUAAUUGAUAUGUGGCGACAUUUUUCACCAACAUCACUUGCAAUUUUAUUUGAAUCUACAAUACUACUCUCCAUCCCUGCUACUGAUUCAGCUAGAUCAUGCAUUAAAUCAUGCAUUUUACAUGUUAGCCCUUCCCAUGAAUAUCUUUCUCCUACUUCUUGGAAGAAACUUCUUUCAACUAAAUCUUUAAAAUACCCAAACCCGAUCUCCUCUAGAGAUUGACUUUGAUUCAAUUGCUUUAUGAAACCCUGUGCAAUCCAAAAUUGAACAAGCGCUUGUACUUCAAUUCUGUAAUCUUUUGGGUACAAUCGGCAAUAUGCAAAGCAAUGCUUCAAAUGAGACGGGAGAUGAUCAUAACUCAAUUUCAGUAUAGGUAGAAGUUCUCCUUCAAUUUGUGAUAUUUUAGCAAGUUCAUUUUCUUUGAAAGAAUGCCACUCAUUUGCAGUUUUCUUCAAAGAUAAUGUACCAGCUAUCGUCCUUAUGGCUAAGGGAACCCCACCACACCUUUCCGAAAUCUGUUUCCCUACUUCCACAAAGGCUGAAUUUGUUGAGUCUGCAUAUCCUUGCUCAAAUGCUAUCUUUUUGAACAAAGACCAAGCAUCAUCAUCAGACAAGCCUUUCAAUUUCAAAACAUGGGAUUGACAUUUAUUAGUUAUCUCCGCUACCCUUAGAGAUCGAGUCGUUACUAUUAUCCUACUCCCUUUAGCCCCACCCAUCAAUAACUUCUUUAGCCUAGACCACCUUUCUGGUUCCUCAUUCCAAAUGUCAUCCAAAACAAGCAAAUAUUUUUUCCCAUCAAUUUUAUCUCGAAGUUGUUUUUGCAAUUGAUCCAUUUCAAGAUUUUGAUCAGGUGUUUGAUGAGUCACAGAUUUGAUAAUGUUUGCUACAAUAACUUUCAUAUCAAAAUCAUCUGAAACACACGCAAACAUCGUUAAGUCAAAAUGGUUUUUGACCAUUUCAUGGUUAUAGACAAGUUGGGCCAAAGCAGUCUUCCCUAACCCUCCAAACCCCACAAUUGGAAUGAUAUAAACAUUCUCUUCACUUUGAAACUCCAACACGAAUUUUAGAAGAGCUGCUUUAUCAUCAUCCCUCCCUAUUAUGUCAUCUUCACGCUCAAAAGAGUGCGUUUGCUGCCUCCUUUUAGUCAUGAAAGAAGUUUCCGCGGGGCAAUCACGCGGAAUGAAGCCAAAAAUGUUGGCCUCCCUUUCAAUUGAAGCUAAUCUCGCCUUAAUGGCCUUCAUUUUCCGACCCAUUUUGAGACCAUAAGCAAAUUGGUUUGAGGUUGAGAAGAAAAGGCGUACCUCUUUCGUCAGCUUGUUCCCACCCGAUACAUCUUUCCGCAAAGCUUCAGUAGAGAAAUCAUCGAGCAAGUCGUCGGCAUCAUAAAGUACAUCUUUCAGAUCUUCAAGCCAAACUUUGACGAGAUUAUCGGUCACCGAUUUCUCUUCUGCGUCAAGAAGCACAGCUUUGAUUUGACAGCCAGUGCGUCUGAGGUCGUGGAUGUCAUGUUUUAGAUUCCACCACAGCCCAACUUGAGAGAGAGCACGAGAGCUCAACUUAAUAAUGAGCUCUGCGGCAAUGUCGGAAGCAAUUGCUUCGGCCAUUGUUGGUUCAAACUGAAAUCAAGGCAAAAAGUGUUUGAUUUGUGAAAGAGGAGGACUAAAAUGAGAUUGAUUCCAACAAGAUGAAACACAGAUGUGGAUCCAUCCACCCAGCAAGUUAAAGUUAUGUUGAUUAGUGGGAAAUGGUCCCUCCAUGUUUAUUGUUUGACACAAAUUUCUGAAUGGAGACAAAGUUGGGAUGAUGACACUUUGGGUGCUGUGCACAAUGUGGAGCCGUACAAAUAAUUGAAAUUAAUGAAAAAGGUAUGAAAGAAAAGAGAAAAAGGAGACAAAUCCCAUGGAAUCCAAGGUGUUUUGAUUGAAGGCCCAUGCAUUCCAGUCUUUCUAAACCUUCUUCCCACCUACUUGUGUAAUUCAAGUUUUGAUUUUUUAUUCUCAUUUUAUCGGUAUAUUUACAUUUGAAUUCAAAUACAUAUCCUAUAAUUAACUUUAAUCUCGCUAUUACAAUACUUAACCUCACUAAAUUACUUGUUUAACAUGAUUAUGGUGAAUUUAUAGAAAGAAAAAUCACAAAGCAAAUGCAGAUGCACUUAUGUUAAAAGUGUUAUUAAUAGAAAUUUUAUUAUUUUGAAAAAUAAAAGUAUAAUAACUUUUUUAGCAUUCUAACUUUAUAAAAGAAUUAUUUUAGCUAUCUAUUUAUUUUCAUUCUCUCUUAGUCUUUGAACUUAUAUUUUUUUGUUAAACCAUCCAAAAUGGGUAAAAAAGUUAACGUUUGUUAACUUUUUUGAGAUGACAUAUAGGUAGAUUACCACAUGUAUGUUACGUUAGCAAUUAAUUAUUUUAAAAAAAUAUUAAAAAAUAUUUUCUUAUAAUUUUUUAAAAUUUUAAAAUAUUUUUUUGAAUUUUUUAAAAUUUUAAAAAUAAUUAAUUGCUUAUGUGGCAUGUACGUGGCAAUCCGCGUGUAUGUCACGUCAACAAAAUCAGCAGACGUUAAUUUUUCACUCAUUUUGUGGUGAUUUAAUAAAAAUUACAAGUUGAACUAAAAGAAACGAAAAAUUAAAUGAAAAGUUGAAAUAACUUUUUCUGUAAAGUUGGAGACCAAAAGAAUCAUUAUGGAAAGAAAUAGUUGUUUUUCUUCUCUCUCUUUUUUUUUGGUAUAUUUUAGCGCUAAAAUCACAAUUAUCGGAAACCAAACCAAAUUCUAUUCUUUAUUUAAUUUAUAAAUAUUUUUAUAAUAUAAAAAUAAAUCUUUUAUUUUUAAAAAUAGUGAAAAUAAAUAAAUAAAUUUUAAAAAUAUUAUAUAAAAGUAUUUGAUUAUUUUUAUUUACUUAAAAAAUUUUAAAUAAUAUCUAUGAAAAAACUUUGAAAAUUUGUCAAAUGAUAUUUAAAAACCGUAAAAUAAAGUUUAUUUUAUUAAAAUAAUUAUAAAAAUUUAUAAUAAAAAAUCAAACUAAACUAAAUUAUAAUGGAUGGAUAAAAAAAUACAAUUGAAUUAAACUAAUAUCACUUUAUUUUAUUGCACCAAACUGGACAUAAAAGAUUUUCUUAAAAAAUUUAGCCGUGAGACUGUUUUUCUCACUAUAACCUUCUAGAGCGUGCAAUGUCCUCCCCAAGUAAGUAAAUUCAAUAGAGGUUGGAGGCUAAAGGUUGAUACAUAAAAGAAGGGGAGGGGCAUAGUUCUGCUUGAAACAAACCCCCAAAUUUAGCAUCUUGAGUUGUUAAAAUAAGUAAAUCCACCGUACUUUUUUGUUAGAUUUUGGCUCUCUUCUUCAGCAGAAUGUAGCGUACAGUACAAGAAGCAGGGACCAUCCUUUCUACCAUGAUUUGUUUAUCCGCCCACAUAUUCCAACAAAACGAAUAUGGUAAUAAAUGUCUUCAAUUUCCUUCUAAUUUCCAAUUGAUCUGAUAUAAAUGGUGUAAUUCAAGAGUACUUGUAUAAUAUAUAUGCCCAACUGAGUACUAGCUUAGAUGGAAUCUAUGCUGUUGACGGACUCUUGGAGGCAUGUUCGAGAGAGCUUAAACACAUUUGUAUUUUUCAGUGUUCCAUAGAAUAUUCUAAUGAGCUGUGUCAAGUUCAUUAAAAAUGAUGUAAAAAGUAGUAUAAAAAUAAGCAAAAAGGAAAUUAAAUUAAAUAAACUAAUAUGAUGGAUUUCAAGCUUUAAGCUCAAUUUUGUUCUAGUUUCGAACCAAUGCACGAUAACAAGUCUUCUCCUUCAACCAAUAAGUUAGUUAUAGUGAUCAAGGAUGCCUCAGACCACCAACCCUUCUAUAUGUAAUUAAUUACGAGAACGCCCAAUAGUUAAUCUUUAUCGAACGAACAACCACAAAACACGCAUCCACGAUUUAGCUCUCCGGUAGCCUUGUGAGCUAAAAGGGUCCAUCUCAAACCAACAGCGUCAAUUACGCGAGCCGUUUAGAUCCGAUUGCUAACUUCUUAGUUGGACACGCCAAUGUGUUCUUCGUAAGAUCAAAUACAACAAAUGAUCAAUCCGGUACUUCCAAUUGUACGUCUAUCAAAACCGAAUUAAUGAGCUCUUUUUAACAUGGUGUCAGCACAAUUUUGUGAGCUGCCAGCAUCUAUCUCCUAAAUCAGAGAAACAACAAAUACCGAAAUAAAAUUUUUUAUGUAUAAAUUUAGAUCUCACAGCUCUCUGCCGGAUUAUUUAUUUAGCUACUAAUGAAAAUAUAUGAAAUAAAAUAUAAAUAAAAUUUUAAAAAUAUGGAAAUAGGAUUGCGCAUGGAACAGAGAAGUAAUAAACAAGUAUGAAUAAAAGAGUGGGGCAAAUUUUCCAAUAAUAAAGAAAUAAAAAUCAUCACCCUUUAAAAAAGAGUGGGCCAAUCUCACUUUUACCCUUUAUAAAAUAUAUACCGUAAUGUUGCAAUUGAUAAUUCUGCCCAACUUCUUGUUCUUUAUUCAUAGCAUCAUGUGGUGCUAUUCAAGAAAAAUACAUUGAAAGCUGCAGAAAAUUUAUAAAGAAAGGCCGUCCGUUAACUAAGUUUUUAAUAUAAAAUUAGCAACUUUUUAUUUAAUUAUUACUUGGUGGGUGGUGACAUCUUUAAAAUACAAUAUUGACUCUACGGGUGUAUGUAUGUAUUAACGCUUUUAUUUUCAUCUUGUUCGAAUCAUUUCACUCUUCCUCCUGCAAUAAUCAAACACUUUUUGCGUGCCAUCAAUGGCUGAAGCAAUUGCUUUGGAUAUUGCUGGAGAGCUCAUUACUAAGUUGAUCUCUCGAGCUCCCUCUCAGAUUGGAGUAUGGUGGAAUUUCAAAGAUGAACUCGAUGACUUCAAACAUUGUUGUUGCUAUCUCUGAAUGGGUUGAUCUAUGAAAAUUAAACUAGCCUUGAUAUCACCUAUUGGGAUCAACCCGGUUAAGUAGCAAGUAAAAAAAUAGCGAAAUAAAUUGAGAAAUUGAACACACAAAUUUAACAUAGAAAAACUCCCUCCAAAGAGGAUAAAAAGCCACGGGCAAAUAUAAUGGUAAAAGAACGAAGAGUACAAAAGAUUGAGAUAAAAACUAAAACCCGAAAAUAAAGAACCCUCAAAACGUAAACACAAAAUUCUCUAAAUGUAUUAUGAGUUCUAAUCUCUAAUGGGUAUAUUUUCCAAUAACGUUGUAAAAGAGCCUAUUUAUAGGCUAAAUUUAUAGGUCAAAUAAUAAUAAAAUAAUCUAGACUAAUCAGAGUUUGAUUGAAACAAAUAAACAGAGUUUAAUUGAAAGAUUAUUUCUCAAAUUUAACUGAAAUAGGAGUCAUACUCAACACGGACAAAUCCACCAUGAUCUCUCAUUUACUCUUAAUAUAUAUAGUUAAAAAAAAGAAGAAGACUAUUACUAUUUUAUACUGUACUCUUAUUAUUAAUUAUUGGUAUCGUUGAUGUAGCUGAGCGUGUUAAUUUUUGUUGUUAGUGGUAGUAACAUUUUAAUUAUUUUAUUAUACAUUUAUUUGUUUAUUGUAAGUGGGUUGAUGAUUUUUAUUUGUUUAUUUUUGGAAAUUUUGUCUCAUUCUUUUGUUCCAUGUCAUGUUGGAAAAAGAGUUUGAAUAAACAGGUUAAUUUGGAGUAUUUAAAAAUGGCACGUGUUAGGGUUAUAUGAUCUAAAUUUUAAGAUAUUGUUUGCAAGUUAAAUAAAAAAAUAUUUUUUUAGAAAAUUUAGUAUUUAUUAAUAUAAUAUGUUUAACAUUUAUUAGCAUAAUAUAUUUGACAUUGAUUAGAAUUAGGUUUUUUUAACCUAUAAAUAAAUGUAGUUGAAACUCUUAUUGUAUCAUUUGAAUUCAACAUUAGUGAAUUUUUUCUUCUCCUCUGCCUUUUAUUUUUUCCGAAAAAUUUUUACGUGAGAUCUGUGUGUUCUAUUUUUCUUUGUUUUUCUUUGCGAUCUUUCUACAUUACCAUUAUCGAUGUUUAGUUUUUUACUGCACAUAUGUGUUGUUGAUUGAGAUGAUGAGAUUGAGUACAUGUCACAUAUCGGCUUUGUCUCCACAAUCAGAUGAUGAGAUUGAGUACAUGUCACAUGUUCCAUACUCUAGUGCAGUGGGAUCUCUCAUGUAUGCCAUGGUUUGUUCACGUCCAGAUUUAUCAUAUGCAGUUAGUGCAGUUAGCAGAUACACGGCGAAUCCCGAUAAAGAACAUUGGAAAGCAGUUCAGUGGGUUUUAAGAUACUUACGAGGUACUACCGAUGUUUGCUUACAGUUUGGAAAAACUAGAGAUGGAGUCAUUAGGUAUGUUGAUGUUGAUUUUGCUGGAGACCUCGAUAGAAGAAGAUCUCUCACAGGUUAUAUCUAUACAAUCGGAGGUUGUGCAAUCAGUUGGAAAGCCACUUUGCAAACUACAGUCGCUUUGUCUACCACUGAAGCUGAGUACAUGGCGAUUACUAAGGCUUGUAAAGAAGCCAUUUGGUUGAAGGGACUCUUUAGUGAACUCAAUGAAGACCUUCAAAUCAAUACAGUAUUUUGUGACAGUCAGAGUGUCAUCUUCACUACACCAAAACAGGCUUUUAGCGGGGUUUAUAGCGGCGUUUAACCCAAAAACGCCGCAAAAGAUAAACUUUUAGCAGCGCAAAAAAACAAACGCCACAAUAGACCUGCAUUAGCGGCGCUCGAAAAACAAACGCCGCAAUAGGCCUGCCUUAGCGGCGAUUUCUUUGAAACGCCACAAAAUUUUUUUGCCAAACGGCUUCGUUUUUUUGUUAUUUUAUUACUUUAGUGGCGCUUAUUAAAAACACACCGCAAAAUAUUGGGAUAUAGCGGCGUUUUGAGAGAAACGCCGGUAGAGAUAAGUAAUUUGAGGAAAAAAUUUCAGCAAAACUGUACCGUUUUAAUUUUUCCUAUUAUUGCUUUAGAGGCACUCAGUAAAAAACGCCACAAAAGAUACAGAUUUCACGGCUGUUGUUAACGAAUUCCGCUAUAAGUAACUAAUUUGCGGCGUUUCCUUUAUAAACGCCAGAAAAAAAAAUAAGCAAAACGGCUUCGUUUUAUUUCAUUAUAUUGCUUUAGUAGCGUUUUAACUCAAAACGCCACAAUAGGUAGGCUUUAGUGGCGUUUCUUUUAAAAACGUCGCAAAUAAAUUUGCAAAACGACUUCGUUCUGCUUUCACUAUAUUCCUUUACUGGCGUUUUCCGGUAAAACGCCGCAAAUAUGUCUGCAAUACGACGAUAAAACGACGCCGCUUAUGAUUGGAUCUAGUGGUAUUAGCGGUAUUUUCCGAAAAAUGCCGCAAAAAAGAAAUAAUAGAUUACGAUUUACGGAUUAAUAUUUAUAAAUAAUUGUAUAUGGUUUGGGGUUUUAGGGUUCGUUACACAAUGUUUAUUAUUUUAGGAUUACAGUUUUGACGAUAUGGGUUUAGAGUUUAGGUUUACAGCUCAGGGAUUAGUGUUCAAGGUUUAGAGUUUACAUUUCAGUGUUAAUAUCAUGUUAGGGAAUUUACGGCUUAUAAGAUAAUGAAAUUUAAUGUUUUAGGGCUUCAUGUUUAUGGUUUAUGAUUUAGCGUUAAUUAUUUAUGCGUUACGAUGUUGAUUCUUGCGUUUCAGAUUUAGGGUUUGUACGAUUUAUAGUUUAGGGUUUAAUGUUGUGGCGGUUUUAGGGUUUUUUACUAUUUUGAUACAAAAGUCAAAAAAAAUUCGAAUACCAUGUUUUUUACUUCUUAUUAUGUCAUUAUUAGGUUCAGAACUGACAUGGCAAGAUAUCAUAUAUAUAUGUUAUGUAUGAUGAAACAGUUUAAUAUUGUGUACGAGGUAGCGUACGUUAUCAAGAUUUGCAUAACUUAGAGCAUAAAAUUAAAAUUGUAAGACAUUAUUGGAAUAGUGUCAAUAAUUUAUAAAUUGGAAUGUUGAUAGUGUUUAAAUAAUACAUAUAUACUUACAUAUAUAAAAUGGAAAUUUUUUUUAAAGAUUUGUACAAAAAAAAAGAAUAUGUUAAAUCUGUGUCAUAAUUUUAAACUAUUUUAAUUGAAAUGACAUUAAUAAUUUCAUAUUAAUGCAUCAAUUUAAAAUAAUGUCAUAACAUUUAUCCAAUUUUAAAAUCCAUUAAAAAAAGAAAUAGUUAUAAAUAUAGACAUAUAAAAUAUUAUUACAAUUGAAUAAUUAGUGGCGUUCUUUUAAAAAUGCCGCAAACAAAUUUGCAAAACGGCUUCGUUCUGCUUUCACUAUAUUCCUUUACUGGCGUUUUCCGAUAAAACGCCGCAAACUUAUUUAUCAAUUUUAAUAUUGAUAGUAUUUAAAUUGAGAGUAUUUAUAAAUUUGAAUAUUUAUUAAAUAUGUAUAAUUGAAAAAAAAUGUAUUAAAUCUGUGCCAUAUUUUAAAAUAAUAGUAUUGAAAAAAAUUAAUAAUUUCAUAUUAAUGUUUCAAUUUAAAAGAAUGUCCAAACAUUUAUCUAAUUUAAAAAUCAAUUAAAAUUCAAAAUGCUUAAAAAUAAGGUGAAUAUUUAGUGGCGUUUGUAACUAAAAUGCCGCAAACGCUAAUUAAAUAUUGAACUACACGUGGCCUUUUGACUGACGCGUUUAGGGUUUAGUGGCAUUUUCUCUCAACGCGCCGCAAAACCCGUAAGAUUAGUGGCGUUUUCUUUUAAGCGCCACAAAAAGUUUAAUUAAAACGGUGUCGUUUCGAGGGGAUAUCAGAUUUGGGGUAUAUCCCCGCAGCCAGCCGCAAAUCCCCCUUUUCAGCCAAAUCCCUAAGUGUUUCUGCACAGCAUCUCCGAUUUCCCCUCAUCCUUUCUUCAUCUCUUUCACACUUCUGUUUGGGUGUUUCGCUUCCUAGCAAAAAAAAACCAUUAAAAAGGGUCAUUACAUUGUAUUUGUUGAAGAUAAUAUCACGAGGGAACAAAACAUAUUGAUGUACGGUAUCAUUUUGUUCGUGAUACUAUUGCUCGUGGUGAUAUUGUUGUGAUCAAAAUUAGUACUCAUGAAAAUCCUGUAGAUAUGAUGACUAAGUCACUUCCUAUAACCAAGUUUGAGCAUUGCUUAGACUUGGUUGGUGUUCAUUGUUGAAGAUAAACCCUUAAGGAGUUUUAUGGAAGAGGUGGAGAAACUUGUUCGCUGAGAGUUCGCGAUGAAAAACUUGUUCAUUAAGAAUUCGUGUCAAGGUGGAGAUUGUUAGAAUUAAGUGACCCGAAUCCUUAUUUAAAUAAAAUACAAUGGUAAAAUAAAAUAAAAGUAAAAUCCCUAUAGAAUUAUACUUCUUUUAUUUUAUUUUAGAAUAAGGUUUUUUAAAUCUUAUUAAACUCCAUCUAUUUGAUAUUAAUUAGAAUAAGAAGUUUCACUCCUAUUAGAAUAAGGUUUACAAGCCUGUAAAUAGGCAUAGUCUACUCCUCUUGUAAUUAAAAUUUGAAUUCGACAUAGUGAAUUUUCUUCUCAUCUGCCCGUGGUUUUUUCCCGAAAGGGUUUCCACGUAAAAUCUGUGUGUUCUUUAUUUUUUCUAUUUCUAUUUUUCUUUGCGAUAUAUUGUCAUUACCGAUAUUAUAUUUUUCACAGAAUCAAAUAUUAUUAAAUUCAAAUUCGAUAAAUAAUAAUUUAAACAUAAAUUAAUGAUUAUUAAAUCAAAUUUAAAUCUUUUUCGAAUUCAAUUCAAUUAACUUACGAAUGAUUAUCAUCUCUCUCUUUCUCACCUACGUGCUUAGCUUUGAUUUUGUCUUUUAAAGUAGCUUGGUGUCUACAAUUAUAUAUUACGACAAUGGUUACUGUCCAUUACUACUUUAGUACACUCUUAUUAUUAAUUUUUUAUAGUAAUGGGUAUGUUAAUUAUACUUGCUAUUAAUUUUUUAUAUAAUAUUAAGAGUAGGGAUGGAGGUAAUAUUGUUUGAAUCCGUGUCAAAUAGGUAUUGACAAGAGUUUUAACUACUUUUCUUGCAAGGCAAGAUAUAUUUGUUAUUGACAAUAGUAGUAGCAUUUUAUUUUCUUUUAAAUAUACAUAUAUUUAUUAAGAAAGGAUUAAAGCAUUUGAUUUGUUUAUUAUUAGGGAAAAAAAUUAAAUUUAUACAUGACUUUUAGUUCAAUAAGUAAUUUGAUAUAUGAAUUUUGAUGUGGAAUAAUUUCCACAUGAAACUUGUAUUGUGGGUCAUAUAUAUAUACAUGAAAUUUUAAUUCUGAUUCAACUGUGCACAUGUAAAAAAAUGCAUACAUAUAUAUAUAUUUACAUUAGAUUAAUAUAAUUGUUUGUCUACACAAUAUACCAAAGUAAAUUGUAAGAGGUUGAUUUGGCAUAUCCCAAAACAUUUUGUUAUAGCUUGGAUGGUCAUUCUUGACAAGUUGCCUAUCACCGGUGAAGCCUAGUAGAGACUCCUAAAAUGGUAAAUUUUUAUUUUAGACUUUUUAUAAUUUAUAAAAUUUUAAAUUAAUAAUUAUAAAAUUAUAAUUUGAUCCUCUAAAAAAUUAUAAAAAUUUAAUUUAACUCUUUAAAGUUUAUAAAGAUAUACUACUAUAAAAAUAUACAAUUUAAUUUGGAUUAAAAUCUUUUUUAGCUCGGCUGCUAUUGCCUACAAAAGAAAAAUUAAUUUCGUUUUGGACACAACAUGCGGAGAGAUAUUUGGGUUUAUGUAAGCUCCAUGGUAAUGCAUUUUAUUGGAAUUGAAGGAAAAAUCAUUACUGAUACCAUCAUGAAGAUUGCUUCCAUUGCUCAUGUCUAUUUAAUUAUUUUAAUACACAUAAAUUUGUUUUUUGUGAGUUGGGUGAUUUCGGUUUGUUUAUUUAAGAUAUUUUAUUUUUAAAUAUAUUCUUAAUUAUUUAUUUUACAUAUUUUAACUUAAUAUAUUUAAUAGUACUUUUUUUAAUAAAAAAAAACUCAAAUGUCACUACAUCAUUUUAAGUUGCAUCAUAAAUUAUAAUGUUAUGGAUAUCGCUAAGAUAAUCCAUCUUAAAAGAUAAAUUACAACACUUAGAAAGGCCCAAUUAUAAAGAGAAUCGGCUGAUUUGUUACAACCACGUUUCACCCAUUUGACCUGUAACACCCCUAACCCGUAUCCAUCGCCAGAAUAGGGUUAUAGAGUAUUACCGGAGUUUACAAAUUAAUUUACAGACAAUUCAUUUCAUCAAGCGUUCAUAUUUAUAACCAAUCAAAAUCAAAACAUAAUGAAUUAACGUUGACCAAUUUAACUUAUACAUGUCAUUAUAACCAGAAUCAAAUCAUUCAAAAUUACCGAUAGAACCAAUGGAUAGUGUGAUAUAUCUCCGAUAAGUUUCCAACCCAAUCGAGCUUCCGAUAAUCAUUUCAAUGCAUCUAAUAAUUAUACAUAUUACCAAUAAUAAUUCAAUUCCAAUAAUAAAACACAUAUUUAUAUAAUAUUCAUCACCAAAUAACGUUCACUUUAAUUAAAAUUAUACUGAAUAUAGUUCAUACGAACUUACCAAGCUAAAUUGCAGAAAUACCAAAAAUCAAGGACAUUUUGGUAAUUUUUUAUUUUCCUCGAAUUUCCAUCCAAUCUUGAUCUAAAUUAAUAUUUCAUUCAAUUUAUUAAUUUAAAUAACAAAACAAUUUAUUUCAUGCAAUUUGGUCACUUUUUGACAUUUUUUACAAAAUUACCCUAAAAAUUUUACUUUUAUUCAAUUUAGUCCCUGAACCUAAAACAUGUAAAUUAGCUAUUUUAAAAAUAAACUCAUAUUAUCUGAUUAUUCACAUAUAUUUUUCCUCCUCCUCCACUCCAUUCCACAUCCUUGAUAUAUACAUAAUACCACUAUUUACUUGUUUACUCAUAACAAGCUGUUCACUUAAGUCAUAGUCACUAAAUAAAUUAUAUAUUAAGCUACAGAACUCCAAAUUGAGAUUUUUAAAUUUUAUAUGAAACUAGACUCGCAUAUCUUAUUACUAUAAAAUUUUCAUAAUUUUUGGUUUAUCCAAUAAGUACAGUUUAUUCUUUAAAUUUUCCCAUAUUUCACUGUUCGACAAUCCCGACCCCUCUUCACUAAAAAUUAAUUAUUUCUCUGUAAAAAAUUUGGAUGAUGUUCUCGUUUGUUUCUACUGAAAAUAGACUCAUUAAGGAUUUUAAAAAUAUAAAUUAUAAGCCAUAAUUAUUUUUAUACAAUUUUAAUGAUUUUUCCAAGUCAAAACAGGGGAACCUGAAUUCAUUCUGACCUUAUCUCACAAAAUUCAUUAUAUCUCAUGAUUUAAAAUUUCAUUACUUACACCCUUUCUUCUUUGAGAAACUAGACUGAAUAAGAUUUAAUUUCAUAUUUUUUUAAUCCUCUAAUUUGAUUUCCAUGAUUUAUGGCGAUUUUUCAAAUUUAACCUACUGCUGCUGUCCAAAACUGUUUUAGUGUAAAAUGUUGAUAACUAAAUUUAUAACACCGUCCUUUCCUUUCUCUUCAAUAUUUUCCAUCAUUUCCUUUUAUUUCCCUUUGCUAACAUAACAAGAAUAUAGAACCUUAUAUAAUGAAACUCUACAUUAACAUUAAUUUCCUACUUUUUCAAAAAUAUCAAACUCAAAAGUAUAUUGAAAUCUUGAUGUUCUUAACUUGUGCUAUUGAUUUCAAUCUUUAACUUGAUUUUCUCUCUCCUCCAGCUUCUAUUUCUUGAAUCGAACUUGAUAUUCUAGCUCCCCAUAGUCUCCUUAACAUUUUUCUCUCUUGGUAGCUAUGAAAAUUCUUUUGAUUUCUAGGUGAAAAUGGUAAACUUUUGGAGGAAGGACCAAAUUGUAAAAAAAAAAAGAAAACUUUCUUUCUUUCUUUCUUCCUUCUUCUCACGUUGGCGCAUAUAUAUACUAAAUAGAAUAAUAAUAAAAUAAUAAAAUAUCAUUUAAAAAUUAAAUUAAAAUAUUAAAAAAUUAAUAUUAUUUAAUUAAUUAAUCUAAAAUAUCACCAACAUCAUCAUUGCCUUCUAGAUUUCUCUCUCUUCUAAUUUACCAUUUUGCCCUUUAUAAUCUUUAAAAAUUCCAUCAUUGAGUCAUCACUUAAUUUGGUAAAAUUGUGAUUUAGUCCCUCAAAAUUCUUCACCUUUUUAAUUUGGUCCUAAUUCAUCCAUUUUCCUUAGUUUCUAGAUCAUUCCACCCUUAAAAUAUUUUCCCUAUUGGUCCUUCAACUUUUUCAUAUUUACACUUUACCCCUUCAAAUUUUGAGUAUUUACUCUUGAUCAACAGAACUUUUCUCACUUUUGCGAUUUAAUCCUUUCUUGAAUUAAUAUAUUAUAAUAUAAUUGCUAAUGUUGCCAUAACUCAAAAUUUCCCUUUUUGUCACUUUAUUUCCAUAUUUUACUAUAUCAAGGAUACCUACUUUCUUACUAUAGUAAUUUUCGGGGUAUUACAGUAGUAAUUUUCAGGAUAUUACAGGUGCUCAUACCUAUUUAAUUAAUUUAAUACACAUAAAAUUGUUUAUUGUGAGUUGGAUGAUUUUGGUUUGUUUAUUUAAGAUAUUUUAUUUUUAAAUAUAUUCUUAAUUAUUUAUUUUACAUAUACCUGCAUUUUAACUUAAUAUAUUUAAUAGUGAUUUUUUUAAUAAAAAAAGGACCCAAAGGUUACUAUCUCAUUUUAAGUUGCAUCAUAAAUUACAAUGUUAUGGAUAUCGCUAGGAUAAUCCAUCUCAAAAGACAAAUUACAACACUUAGAAAGAUCCCAAUUACAAAGAGAAUCGGCUAAUUUGUUACAACCACGUUUCACCCAUUUGACCUCGGCGGAAACAAAAGAAUCAAGCAUCUUGUGAACUCCUUGAUGCAGUGAUCAAUGAUCGUUAUGUCCUUGUCAAAACUAAAGCAGUGGACAAUGCUAGCACAAUCUGUUUCAAAAAUGACAUUAUCGGCUUUAAGAAAUUGAGCAAGCUGAAAACCAUUGAUGAGAGCAUCUAAUUCCGCUUUAAUAUUGAUUUUUUAUUCUCAUUUUAUCAGUAUAUUUACAUUUGAAUUCAAAUACAUAUUCUAUAAUUAACUUUAAUCUCACUGUUACAAUACUUAACCUCACUAAAUUACUUGUUUAACAUGAUUAUGGUGAAUUUAUAAAAAGAACAAUCACGAAGCAAAUGCAGAUGCACUUAUUUUAAAGUGUUAUUAAUGGAAAUUUUAUUAUUUUGAAAAAUAAAAGUAUAAUAAGUUUUUUGGCAUUCCAACUUUAUAAAAGAAUUAUUUUAGCUCUAUAUUUAUUUUCCUUCUCUUUUAGUCUUUAAACUUACAUUUUUCUGUCAAACCAUCCAAAAUGGGUGAAAAAGUUAACAUUUGUUAACUUUGUUGACAUGACAUAUAGGUGGAUUACCACGUGUAUGUCACAUUAGCAAUUAAUUAUUUAAAAAAAUAUUUAAAAAUAUUUUCUUAUAUUUUUUAAUUUUUAAAAUAUUUUUUAUUUUUUAAAAUUUUAAAAAAUAAUUACUGCUUAUGUGACAUAUACGUGGCAAUCCGUGUGUAUGUCACAUCAGUAAAAUUCAAGAUAGUGUGGAAUAGUUUCUAAUCUUAUUAUUAUAUAUGUUUUCGAUCUCAUUAGAGCUAAUCUCACUAUCUAUAUAAAGAGAGCCUAAAUAUAAUUUGUUCAUCUUCUUUUAAACAUGUUAGUGCUCCUUUGUAUGAUCAUUUACCUCCCGUGAGUAGGGUUGAGUAAAUAAAAUAAUUGAAAAUCGAUCCAAAUCAAGGUGUUUAGACGGUUUAUGGAAUACAAAUUAAAAAAUCAUAAUUAUCCGAAACCAAACCAAACCAAAUUCUAUUCUUUAUUUAAUUUAUAAAUAAAUUUAUUUUUUAUAAUAUAAAAAUAAAUCUUUUAUAUUUAAAAAUAGUGAAAAUAAAUAUAUUUUAAAAAUAUUAUAUAAAAGUAUUUGAUUAUUUUUAUUUACUUAAAAAAUUUUAAAAAAAUAUCUAUGAAAAAACUUUGAAAAUUUGUCAAAUGAUAUUUAAAAGCCAUAAAAUAAAGUUUAUUUUAUUAAAAUAAUUAUAAAAAUUUAUAAUAAAAAAUCUAACUAAACUAAAUUAUAAUGGAGGAAUAAAAAAAUACAAUCAAAUUAAACUAAUAUCACUUGAUUUUAUUGCACCAAACUGGACAUAAAAGAUUUUCUUAAAAAAUUUAACCUGCAAUGAGAUUGUUUUCCUCACUAGAGGUGUUAUAUAAGUACAUAUCAUAUGAUAAUUAUAAAUUUAAUUAUUUAAUUGUUAUAAAAAUUAAAUAUAUUACAAAUUAAUAUUUAUAUAAUGAUAUAUUAAAUACAUGUAAAUUUAUUAUUAUAAAUAUAUUAUUCGUUGAAUAUUAUUAUACGUGAUUUUAUAUAUUUAUUUAUUAUUCACUGAAUAAUAUAUUUUUAUUUUAUGUAAUUAAUACAAAAAUAAUAUUAUUCAAAUUGUGGUGCAUAAUUAAAAUAGUGCAACAAUAAAAAAUUCAAACAUAAAAGUUUGAAAGUAAAUAAUAAUGAAAUAAAUUUUUUAGUGAUUUUAACUACUAAUUUAAUAAAAAAACUAAAACAUACAAUUCUUAUGUAUAUUUUAUAAUUUAAUAUAAAAUAUAAUUUUAAUUAUUUUUUAAUAUAAACAUAGUUUUGAUAUUUUUAAUUAUUAUUUAAAAUAAUUUAUUUUUAAAUAUAUUAUUAAUUAUUUAUUUUACAUAUACAUACAUUUUAACUUAAUCACUGGAUCAAUCUUGUUGUUUGUAUGAAAUCGGUCCAUUGUAUAUUUGAGGUUGUGACCAAUGACAUCUAUAAAUAAUCAUAUGAUUAGAGGAACAUGAAUUUAGCUAACCCUCACUUUUGUGGAACCGUCUUACACUAGAUCAUCAUUUCUUAAUGGCGAAUGUCACGCCAAUUCGUUUCUUGGGCUCGACAACCACUGACGCUGUAAGUUAGCGAACCGACUGUGCAACGUUCCCAAAACAUACAAAGCGGUCGUUCCUUGCACAAGAUGAGAAGAUCACUUUUGGAAGUACAUGGACGGAAGCGUCAGUCCCGUAAUGUUGAGAAACAAUAAAUACUUGUUGAGAAGGCUAAGUGCGGGUUCUAAGCCUCAUGAACCUUUUUUGAGAAAUCUCUACAACCUUUGACUAUAUGAGUUCAAUAAAGGAACAAAAACCUAGAGCUUUAGGGAAACGAAAUUUUUAUAGAAAAGAUGAGUUAAUAUUUAUGUCAUUCUAUCCCCUAUUUAGAACUCUAUCCCCUAUUUAGAGUACAUAGAAAACCUAGUUUGUUCCUAUUUAAACUCUAAAAGAUAAAUAAAUAUAUAAUCUGAAAUUAAAUAUAAAUAAUAUAUAUCAUAAUAAUCCUAUCAAUAAUCCUAAAAAUAAAAUUUAAAUUUAAAUGGAGUCUUCUGUUCAUAAAUCUCUUCUUUAAAUUUUUGCCCCAAGUCUUUCACACUUUGUAUUUUCGGCACCACUUCUUUCCUAUUUCGCAUGCUGGCCCAUUUUGUCUUCAAAUUCACGCUUUUUGUCCCCAAAUUUUCUUUUGCCUUCAAUUUAAUCCCUACGAGAUAAAAAACCAUAAAUAACUCAAAUUAGUAGAAUCAUACUCAAAACAAAUAUGUAAUUAAUACAUAAAAAUAUGUUAUUUUAAAGUAUUAUCAGUUUCUUAGCGAGCUAUGGAAAUGUAGGUCUCCGAGGAGGAUUAUAGCCCAUCAAUUUUCUCUCUGUAGCAACAAUGAACCUGCAAAUUAUAAAUGCCAAUCCAGAAAAGUAUAAAAUAUUUCUUUUGUAGAAAAUUUUAUAUAUUUUUAAUUAAAAAGAAAAAAGCAAACCCAAUUACACAACAGUCAAAACUGAAGGAAAUUUCAGAAUUAAAAAUGAAUAAAACCCAUAGAUGUAAGCAAAUUUCAUGGGUAUCAUUAGCUUAUUAUAUAGUAUAUGUCAGAGCAAACGUAUUAUUGUCUUCUUGGGAAAAAAAAUUAGACAAGUAAUUUAGACACCUUUAAAUGUCUUUUAUUUGGUAAUUUAUCCUGUAAACUUUGACAACCAAUGCAAACUCUUUUUUGGUGUAAAUGCCCCUUAAGUCCCUCUACUUUUUGCAGGUCAACAAAUUAGUCCCUCUCUAAGGAAAACAGAUUAAAGGAGACCAUGUACUCUUUUCAAAGGUGAAUAAAUAAGGACAAUUAAGAUCAGAGUUAACAAUUUCUAUUAAUACAUGACACAUCUCUAAUUAUGAUUAGUUAAAUUUGAAAACAUUUUAAAUAAAUUAAUAUAUAUAAUAUAAAAAUCUAUAAAAGAAUUCAAAAUUUCAAUUAUUAUAACAUUAAUUUUAUAUCUAAAAAUCCUAAAUUAAAUUAAAUUAAUUCAAUUGAAUUGGACAAACAAAUUCGACCUGAAAUCAUUUGAUAUUGUUGGUUGGACAACCAAUCUGGUUUUAAAAACCUUGACUAGGACAACAUCAAUAUGUUAAUUUAAUUUCUUGUUUGUUUAAUAUUGUUUAUUUAAUAAAUCUAAAUUUUGAAGCAUCUAAAAUGUUAAUAAAAUCUUAUUUCUAAUUAUUUUCAUACAUUGAAUAUGUUAUUUUACUUUGUUAGAACUUGUUUAAAAGAAUAUUGUAUGCUUCAAUGAAAGUCACAAUUUAUCUUUGACCAUGAUUGUUCGCAACUGAGCUACUUAGUAAAUUAAAAAUCAGACCUCGACUAUGUACUGUAAGUGCAUUUUCCUACAAACUUUACCCUAUGAUUCAUUAGCCAAAGGUAUUCAUCCCAUCCCCCAAAGUCAUGAGAUAGAUUUGUAAGCUUUGCUUAUGUUAUAGUUAAGGUGGAUGUGUACGCUAGUGUGUGAGUUCUAAAUUAUAUUGUAUAAAAAAAAAACCAAAAUUAAAUGUGUGUAAACAUCUUAUCUCCAUGCAAAUUUAAGCUAUUGAGCUAAUUUAUUCUUAUAAAAUAUUAAUUUUAUCCAAAAUUUUCUUCUUCAAUAUAGAAAUUAAUGUACAAAGAAAAUAAAAUUUUCUUCUUCAAUAUAGACAUUGGAUAUAGGUGUAGCUGUUUUGUAACAACCUAAAAAGGGUCGUAAUUGCUGCAGGGCUUCCGCAUUCUUAUCUCCUCAAUAUUUGAUAAUCGAAUGGAGCUAAGCUAAGCAUUCAACCAAUCAUAAGAUGAAGAUAUGGGAUUCAUUACUCAAUCUAGCAAUGUCUUCAACUUUGUACAACUCAAUCUUCAAAUUGCUUAAUAGUUCUUGCGUGAAGCCCUUUCAUUAAAUGAUAGUCUACAUAAUGUACACAAAAUUGCUUGAUAAUUAGUUGUGCUUGUGUUGGAACCUUAUUUGAGACAUCAAAAGAGAAAAAUAUGUUUUGUCCUGAGUGGACACAUAUAUAAGUAAAACUAAAGAACACAACUAAGAUAUUUACGCAGCUUGAAACUUGUCCUACGUUUGCAGCGCCUUGUUCAGAGAUAAAUCCACUAUAUAUUUUAUAGUACAAAGAAAUGAUUUAUGCCCAACUCUCAAACAUUUGGUGUGACCUCACCUUUGUACAAUGAAAUAAACUCUCUCCCAAUUCAUUUUAGCUAUACAAUUAGAAAAUCAACACUCAAAAGGUGUAUAACAAUGACACUCAAUAAUAAUUCCUCGCUAUGAGCGCAUGUACUCCGUUAAAUCCACACAUCAUCCACAAAACAAAUCAUCUAUGUAUAAGCUCCAUGUAAAGUGAAAUAACAAAUUUUCAAAUGCAAUAUCACUGGACCUUUGUAGAAACACUUACCGUUACUAAAUGCUGCUUUAUAUCAUGUGCAUAAAUGGUGGCUAACCACAAACCUAUUGUCUAUGCUUUUUCGGUGCAUUCAAAGUUUACACAUUCUGCCAAUUUAGUUUUGAUUUAAUAAAUUUAGCCCACAACAUUUACACAUUUUGUCAAUUUGAUUCUAGUUUAACAAAGUUAGCUUGCAACAUUUACACAUUAUGUAUGGGCUCAAUUUGUUAUUUUAUCGAUCAAAAUUAUGUACGAGUGAAAAAAAAUAUUAACAUUGUGGUUAAUUGUCCUUAGUUCACUUCCGAAAUUGAUAGGGAUUAAAUUACUCCUUUUAUUUUUAGAGGGGCCAAUUUGCAUAAUAUUGAAUUUGAGAGGAACAGAAGAUGUGUUUUUACCCAUUUUUAUCCUUAUUAUAAUUUGCAUAAUAUUAACUUUAUUAUAAUUUGACCUUAUUUGAUUCUUUUUAAUAGUACAUGAACUAAAUUGAUCAUUUAAUAAUAGAGGGAUUAAUUUGAUGCAGUCCCUAUAAUACAGGUACUUUCACCAUUAUAUAUAUAUUUGAAUUGUAAUUUCGAGAUGAAAUUGAACAAUUGAAAAAUGUAAAAACAAAUGAAAUUAGCUCAUUAACUUGUAAUUAUAUACAAAAUGCUUCCCUCCACAUUUAUCCGGCGGCGCUCGAGGCUCUAAUGGUCCCAUGCUGCCGUAUCAACCUCCUCCUAGGCUUCAACAGCACCAGCUUCGACGGUUCCUCCAGUUGUUCCGCCAAUACGUGGUCACCUGGCCUUCGCUUCAACGAAGCCGCGGUUUGCUCAUCUCGAUGAUUAUCACAGAUUUUCAUCCAGUAAUAGUCGUGUCAAGAAGUUGAAGCAAUUGUUGUGAGAUCUCCAGUGAGCUCAAAAAUUCUCUUUUGAAAAUGAUGGCUAUCAUGUAAUUAGUAGUAUAUUAUUUCAAUUUUGAUGAGAAUUGUACUGUCACUUAACGCUUAAUGUCAUUUGCUUAACUUUUUUUGUGUGUGAUAUUUUGAUCUGUUCAUAAAUAGAAUGUUUCAUGGUGGCUAAGUUUCUUAGGGGAUAAUUAUGAGUAGCAUUAUUUGUUUGUGCAGUGAAAUUGUGAUGUCUGUAUUUUAAUAUGUGAGGUAUUUCCGUAUUUGAUGAUGUAGUGGAGUUUUGGUAGAUUAAAGUGCUUGUUUGCUGAACUAAGUUGAAAUUGAAGGAAUGCUGGCCUCACCCAAUGUCCAAAACUUGAUGACUUCAACAUUUUGAUGCCUUAAUUUGAGAAAGCUAAGUUUUAGUAUUAUAAAAUUUUCUCAGAAUGCAGAUGAGGCAAAGAUGUAGUGAUCAAAUAUAAUUGCAAUUGAUAGUAUGUUUGUUUUAUGUACUAUAAAUGCUAUAGUAAGAGAGUUUAAAGCCGAACAUUUAGUGUCGUGCUCUAUAUGAAGAAAGGUUGAUGGGUGUUAGCUCUUUUGAUGUUUUGCCUUUGAUGGAUGUUUGAAAAAUGAUUCAGCUCAUAUCCAUAAUGUCUAUCACUAUAGUUUCCCCCUUAUGUAGAGUAUGACUGCUAGUUUGUCAGGCAAAAUUAUGUUCGUAUAUUAUAUUCUUUUUCUUAUUGUCUUCAACACGAUAACAAGUGAAUUACUAGUUACUUUGCUUGAUUUUGUCAUGCCAUUUAUCUCUUUGAGUUUCGGCCUUUCUGAAUUAACUUUUGAAUCAAGUAGUGAAGCAUUUCUGAUGGUUCUUAUGACUAACAGUAGGUUUUCUUAUACAAGCUCUCCUACAUAUGCAUUUCUUAAACUUAUGCUCUUUUUUAUUUUAUUUUCUUCAUUUCAGUUGGUUGUUAAUCUUGAUAUAACCAUGCACAAAUACUAAUACUAAGGGACCCUGUAAUUUUGCCUGCCAUUGGAAGAGGAAGAGCGCAGCAGACAAAAAUGAAGUUAAGUCUAGCCAACAUAAUACAAGAUGUGUUAUUCAACUUGUAGUUUGAUGUGUGCCAACAUAAGCAUCAACACACAAGUCAUACGUAUAUACAGCCAGGAAAUCGACAUCUUUUGGAAGAGUCCUAAUCCAAGCAUCAUAAUUGAACACAGUCUUGGAAUACUGUCUAAAAAAAUGGUUGUCUCAUAAUCAAUUGUGCAUCCCUGCAUUUGAAUGCUGUUUUGAACACUAAAAAAACAUAAAUGUGUUUUUUCUGAGUUGACAUGUAUUAUGCAACAAGGAAAACAAAGAUCACAAUUAAGAUGUUUACACAGUUCGAAACUAGUCCUACAUCUGCGGGGCCUUACCCAAAGAUGAAUACACUAUGAACUUCAUAGUACAAAGAAAUGAUUUAAGCCUAACCCUCUAACAUUGAUGCAAUCUCAACUUCAACCUCACCACCAAAUAUUCUGAAGCAGCUUCCUUUUUUUUCCUGUUUGGACCUUCAAUAACAAAUUUGGCUGGAAUUCCAAACAGCUAAAAGAGUGCCCUGCAUCAAUGAAUAUCAUGAAUUUGAAUACCUCCAAAAGCCUGUCAAUAUCACAGGUACCAUCUAAGAUAGUAAUCAGUUGGCAUUUAUUAAGAGAAAACAUAAAUAUAUAUAAAGAUAGGAUAGGUAAGUGCUUAAAUGAAGAAAAGGCCUCUCUCCACAUCAAUGAUUUUUUAGACUAAAAUUAUUAGAAGCAAUUGUCAAGUUAUUAUUAUGAUUUAAAAGUAAAAAGCAAAUAGAUAAGUUAGCACCUCUUUUUAUGCAUAUAAAAUGAUUGAAGUUCACUAAUGCCUUUCUCCAAUGCCUUACUGCACAAAUCAGCAAAAAUAUUAUGAAAGAGGAUAAGUAAAAAGUAGGAUUAAAACAAAGGGACUUUAACAAGGAAAUUAACAGUAUCCAACUUCAAUGAAAAAUGGCAUCAGACCCCUGACUUGGAGAUUCAAUAUACCACUCUUAUUUUUCUUCAAAAAAAGAUAAGGUCAUCAAAAUAAAUAAAUAGCAAAGACCAACCUGACACAACCGAAUGUUGGGGAUGUGAGCAAUCUUUUGCCAAUCAGUGCCAAUGUCCUUCCGACAUCUUUCCUCCAACUGAGGAAGUCCUUCUAUUCCUAAAAUUUGCAAAUUGGUUAGGCAACGCAUCUCGUCCGGAAGAGAUGUUAAAUUAGGCAAAUGACAGAGAUAAAGCCCUUGCAGAUUUGUUAGAUGUUGAAGCCCAAUGGGGAGAGACACCAGCUUUGGAAUACUAACAAUCUCCAAACGAGAGAGAUUCUUAAGGGGUUCCCAUUGCAUGCCCUCUAAAUCAACCUCCUUCCAAUCUCUUAUUGUUAAUCUUUCGAGGCUGGUGAGAUGUUGCAGGCACUCAUCUAGCGUGUGAGUGUCCAACCCGUCAAUGUUGUGUACAUCAAAAGAUUUCAAUUUGGAGAGACGAAGAGAAGAGGUUGAAGUUGAUGGGGCCUUAGCAUUGAUGUUCAUCUUGAUAGUCUGCUUUAACGGCCUUGAACUGGUAUUCGACAACAUUAGAUAUUCAUCGAGUGAUGGAUACAGUGGCAUGAAAUUCAAAGGGCAAUUUCUAAUGUUUAACGAGGAAAGACAAGGAAAUGCCAUGGUUGAUGUUCCCAUAACUUCUUUGGCAAUUCUUGAAGCCGGUGACACUGAUCAAGUUUCAGCGCUAGCAAAUUCUGAAUCUUGCAAAUACUCUUUGGGAGAAUCUUAAGACAGAGAUUAUAAGAAAGAUCAAGGUACCUCAAAUGUUUCAACUUGUAAAUGGAGGGUGAAAUCAUCUGAAUACCUAAACAUUGCAAAUCCAAUACACGCAAGCAUCUACAAUUUGCAAUUACAAAAUCCCAAGUUUCUUCGCUCAAUUUUGGAAAAUCAUUGUUUGGAUACUGUAACAAGGUUCGCAACUUCUUUCCCUUAAACAAAGGAAUUAGUGAAGGUUUAAUUGAUAUGUGGCGACAUUUUUCACCAACAUCACUUGCAAUUUUAUUUGAAUCUACAAUACUACUCUCCAUCCCUGCUACUGAUUCAGCUAGAUCAUGCAUUAAAUCAUGCAUUUUACAUGUUAGCCCUUCCCAUGAAUAUCUUUCUCCUACUUCUUGGAAGAAACUUCUUUCAACUAAAUCUUUAAAAUACCCAAACCCGAUCUCCUCGACAGAUUGACUUUGAUUCAAUUGCUUUAUGAAACCUUGUGCAAUCCAAAACUGAACAAGCGCUUGUACUUCAAUUCUGUAAUCUUUUGGAUACAAUUGGCAAUAAGCAAAGCAAUGCUUCAAAUAAGAUGGGAGAUGAUCAUAACUCAAUUUCAGUAUAGGUAGAAGUUCUCCUUCAAUUUGUGAUAUUUUAGCAAGUUCAUUUUCUUUGAAAGAAUACCACUCAUUUGCAGUUUUCUUCAAAGAUAAUGUACCAGCUAUCGUCCUUAUGGCUAAGGGAACCCCACCACACCUUUCCGAAAUCUGUCUCCCUACUUCCACAAAGGCUGAAUUUGUUGAGUCUGCAUAUCCUUGCUCAAAUGCUAUCCUUUUGAACAAAGACCAAGCAUCAUCAUCAGACAAGCCUUUCAGUUUCAAAACAUGGGAUUGACAUUUAUUAGUUAUCUCCGCUACCCUUAGAGAUCGAGUCGUUACUAUUAUCCUACUCCCUUUAGCCCCACCCAUCAAUAACUUCUUUAGCCUAGACCACUUUUCUGGGUCCUCAUUCCAAAUGUCAUCCAAAACAAGCAAAUAUUUUUUCCCAUCAAUUUUAUCUCGAAGUUGUUUUUGCAAUUGAUCCAUUUCAAGAUUUUGAUCAGGUGCUUGAUGAGUCACAGAUUUGAUAAUGUUUGCUACAAUAACUUUCACAUCAAAAUCAUCUGAAACACACGCAAACAUCGUUAAGUCAAAAUGAUUUUUGACCAUUUCCUGGUUAUAGACAAGUUGGGCCAAAGCAGUCUUCCCUAACCCUCCAAACCCCACAAUUGGAAUGAUAUAAACAUUCUCUUCACUUUGAAACUCCAACACGAGUUUUAGAAGAGCUGCUUUAUCAUCAUCCCUCCCUAUUAUGUCAUCUUCACGCUCAAAAGAGUGCGUUUGCUGCCUCCUUUUAGUCAUGAAAGAGGUUUCCGCGGGGCGAUCACGCGGAAUGAAGCCAAAAGUGUUGGCCUCCCUUUCAAUUGAAGUUAAUCUCGCCUUAAUGGCCUUCAUUUUCCGACCCAUUUUGAGACCAUAAGCAAAUUGGUUUGAGGUUGAGAAGAAAAGGCGUACCUCUUUCGCCAGCUUGUUCCCACCCGAUACAUCUUUCCGCAAAGCUUCAGUAGAGAAAUCAUCGAGCAAGUCGUCGGCAUCAUAAAGUACAUAUUUCAGCUCUUCAAGCCAAACUUUGACGAGAUUGUCGGUCACCGAUUUCUCUUCAGCGUCAAGAAGCACAGCUUUGAUUUGACAGACAGUGCGUUUGAGGUCGUGGAUGUCAUGUUUUAGAUUCCACCACAGCCCAACUUGAGAGAGAGCACAAGAGCUCAACUUAGUAAUAAGCUCUAGGGCGAGGUCGAAUGCAAUUGCUUCGGCCAUUGCUGGUUCAAACAGAAAUCAAGCAAAGAAGGGUUAUUGCAAGAGGAGGAGUAAAAUGAGAAUGAUUGGAACAAGAUGAAACACAAAUGUGGAUCCAUACAUGCAGAGACUUGAGUAUAUUUAUAGAUAUUACCAUCCACCCACCAAGUAGCAUAAUUAAAUAAAAAGCAUUACAUUUUUUCCUUUUUAUCCUUCUUAUAAUUAAUUUAAUAAUUUUAUUUAAUGUCAUACAAUUAACAAUUAAUGAAUAAAACGAUAUUAUAUUAUAAUAUUUUUAAUGAAUAAAUAAUUUUACUUUCUAAUAAAAUAAUCUUAUUGGGUGUAUAAUAUAAUUAUAUCAUACAUUAAACAUAAAAAUCCAUUAAUUUAAUAUCUUAAAAGUGUGCAUCUUUUAUGAUUCUAAUGUAGAAUUUUCUUUUUUACCUAAAUAUUAUAUUUUCCUUUUUGUUAAAAAACAAAAUAAGAAAAUAUUAAUUUCAUAAUAAUGAAUAAAUAAAUGUAGCAUUCGAAAACUUGGCUCACUAAUUAGUGCAUGUUUUAUUUAUUCAAAAAGUGAGGCUCAAAAAUCCUUCUUUUUCGAGUUCAAAGAAAAUACAAAAAUUAAGGUUCACAAACAUCAAUUUUCUAAAUUUAUAUAGUGCAACAAAUUACAUGGGCUUAAUUGUAAUUUUUUUAAAACGUUUCACAUACAGCUUUUUUUUUUUUUUUCUAUUGUGAACAUUGAAAAAAAAAUUAGAACAAUAAUUUAAGUUGUAAAAUUGAUCAAUUGAAUUGUUUAGAUAUUUAGUUUUCAUUUAAAACUAUACAUACUUAAGGAUUGAAUUAUUCGUUCAAUAUUCAAAUCGAUUAUUAGAUAAAUUAUUUUUUAAUUCAAAUACACAAAUAUAGAAUCACAACUCAGCUCGAUCUAUAUAGUUUCAAAAAUUACUCAGGGCAGAAUUCCCCUCCCCUAAAUUUGGAAAAUUUUCAUUAAGCCUUCAAUUUUUUUGAAAUUUUUAAUUAGACUUUACCUUAGUUUAAUUGAAAACAGCUCACAAGGUACAAAUUGAACAUAUAUAGACAUCUCUUCUCCCCUUGCUUGAGUUGUUGAACUAAACUAACUUUCUUCAUAUAAUAUUAAUUUUACCCAAAAUUUUCCUGUUCAACGAAAACAAAAUUCCUAAAAUACAAAAGUUAAUGGAAGAUAAAGAAGACAUUGGAUCUAGGUUUAAUUGUUUUGUAAUAAGCUAAAAGGGAUGCAGUGGUUGCAGGGCAUCCAUAUUUGUAUCCUCAAAAUUUGGUAACUGAAGGGAGCUAUGCUAAGCAUUCAACCAAUCAUUAGGUACUGCAACGUUUUCAUUAAAUGAUAGUCUUACAUAAUGUACACAAGAUUGCCUGUUAAUUAGUUGUGUUUCCAUGUGUUGGAUUAUUAUUUGAAACCCCGAAAGAGAAAAAUGUAUAUAUUUUUUUUAAGUUGACACACAAAAAAGUAAAAAUAAAGGAGAAUAAAGAACACAACCAAGAUGUUUCCGCAGUUCAAAACUCAUCCUACAUUUGUGAGCUUUGUCUAGAGAUAAAAUCGCUAUAAACUUCACAGUACAAUGAAAUUAUUUAUGCCCAACCCUCCAAACUUGGUGCAACCUCACCUUUGUACAAUUAACUAAAUACUCUUCCAACUUACAUUAGCUAUGCAAGAGAAAAUCAACACUCAUAAGGUGGCACUCAAAUAAUAGUUACUAAGUGUGCCUCUAAGUCCACAAAUCAUCUAUAUAUACAAGCUCCAAGAUCAGCUGAUGAAGAAUGCAUACAGAUUGACUCGUCAACAAAGAAAAACAGAAAAAGGAAGAACAAAUGUGCAUAGAGAGGAGGAUUUCAUGGGAGCACAAUGCCAUGGACAGAUCAGCUGAUGAAGAAUGCAUGUCCUGCUUUUUGGCUCUUCCAUUGAACUCGUGCUGAAAAAGAAGCAGCUUAGUCACGAGGUUAUAUUAGAUCAUUUGAAAUUAUGAGAUUAUUAUGAUUUUAAAAUGUAAAGCAAUUAAGUAAUUACCACCUAUUUUUCUGCAUCUAAAUUCUUGAAGUUGUCAAAUGCCUUUCAGAAAAAUACAUGCCAAUCGAAUAUGUGGGCAGAUAAACAAAUGAGGGUAGCAAGUAUGAUCUCUGCUUUUUGUAUUGCAUGCUAUGCUCUGCCGAAGAAUAGAGCCAAAAGCUAACAAAAAUGAAGGGUAAAAAGAUUAAUGGAAACCUUGUAGUUUUCAAAGGUGAAUAAAUAAGGACAAUUAAGAUCGGUGUUAACAAAUUUUAACUAAUAUUUUGAAAACAUUUGAAAACAUUUUAAAUAAGUUAAAAUAUAUAAUAUAAAAAAUCUAUAAAAAAAUUUCAAAAUUCAAUUAUUGUAAUAUAAAACUUUCAUAUCUAAAAACCCUAAAUUAAAUUAAACUAUUUCAAUUGAAUUCAACAAACAAAUUGGACCGAAAACCAAUUAAUUGAUUGGUUCGGCCACCGUAUGUGAAUUUAAUUUCGUAUUUAUUUAAUUUGGUUAGCACAUAUUAAUAGUUUUCAUAUUCUCUUUAGUUUUUGUAUUUUCGGAUUGUGUAAAAUUUAAAAUUUAAAUAUUUUUAUGUUCAUAUUUUUUUUUAUAAAUAUAUAGGGGUAAGCUCUCACUAACUUUUUGAAGCUUUUAGGAGUUCCUUCUAUUGAAGCAAUAUCAUGAGCGAAUCUAUAAUCAAUAUAUAUGAGAAAGAAAAAAUAUAUAAAAAAGUAAAAUAAAAAAUAAAAAUAGACUUGAACACUUAUGGAUGUUAAAUUUAUAAUAAGCUUAAGUAAAAGGGUUAAAAUAAUCAAACUAUUGUCUAACUCAUGCUAUGAAAAAGAAAUCACAGUUAAAAGAAUAUUGUAUGCUUCAAUGAAAGUCACAAUUUAUCUUUGAUCAUGCUUGUUCGCAACUAAGUAGCUAUAAUGUAACUACAUGUUCCUACAAACCUCGCACUAGUCGACUUUGCCCUAUGAUCCAUUAGUCGAAUUUGUGAUGUCUAUAUUUUAAUAUGCGAGGUAUUUAAAGAAAUAGAUACAUCAAUUUAUUUUUGUAGUGGAUAAAUAUAAUUAUUUAUUUACACAAUAUAUAAACAUAAAAUGAUGCCCUAUUAAUAAUUUAUGAAAAUUAGAUCAAAUUAAAAUUUCAUGUAUAAAAUUAUAUGUUAUGCCAAAGUUUAUAUGUAGUUUUGAGAUUUAUCCCAUUUUCCUAUUAACUUAGCCAUUAGCCUGAGCAUUAAAUGUUCGCUCAAAUAUGAUAGGGGACAUACUUAAAACACAUGUGUCCAUGCUAUAUAGGCAACUUGAAUCUAAUUUGUUAAAAGAAGAAGAAGAAGUAAUCCUCUUAAAUUUUAUAAUCUCAGCGUGUUUUUAAUAUGUUAGAAUCAAGUUAUCAAUAUGAUGAGUACACAAGUAUUUACAAUUUAAUCCAUGUCAAAUGAGAACAGAAAUUUAAAAUCUAAAUUGAUAGCUACAAAAAUGAAAUGAUUUUAUUGUUAUAAUAUUAAUACUUUCAAAACUUAAUUAAAAUAUUUUAAAAUUUACAAAUUAAUUCUAAAACAAUAUUUAAUAAAUUGAGAAUAUUUAAUACAAAUAACUUCUUAUUUGAAUAUAAAUAAUUAUAACACAUUUAUUAUUAAACAAAAUAAUAUUGUUUGGUUGGAAAUGGUCCCACCGUAUUUUACGUUUGGGGAACAAAGCGAUGGCGUUUUGGUUGGAGAAGAAGGGAGUAACGUUGUUAAGUACAUCAUUUUGUUUAUUUUCGUUUUAAAUUUGUUUUCUCGUUUUCUAUUUGAUGCCGUUAAUAUUCUUUUUUGAGUAAACUAUAUUAAAAGUCAUUCAACUAUUUUAAAAAGUACAAAAUGAUCACCAAAUUAUUAGUAAUUUCUUUUAUCUAAUUAUGAAAAGUUACAAAAUAAUCAAUAAACUGUUAUUUUUUUCCUUUUCUUUCACCCAACUAUCUUGGAUUUUUUGGUGUUUUCUAUUUUUUCAUUAGCCAACUAAUGAUAAAAAUGAUAAAAUUGAAUUGUUGGGAGACUAUUUUGUAACUUUUCAUAAUUGAGUAACCAAAAAGGAAAAAAAAAACUUAGUUGGGUGACUACUAAAGUAGGUUACCCUUUUUUAGGUUAAAAUAUGCCAUAUGUCCUUGUACUCGCCAUAAAUUUGAAAUUUAGUCUCUAUACUUGUAUUUAUAGGAAUUUAAUUCUUUUACUUUUUAAAGUUCAAAUUUCAGGUCCAAUUAUUAAUACUGUUAAAUUAACCAUUUAAUGAUAGAGGGACUAAUUUGUAUGCAGUCCCUACAGUACCGGUACUUUAACCCUUAUAUAUAUUUGAAUUUUAUUUUAGGAUUAAAUUGAAAAUUUGAAAAAAGUAAGAGUUCAAAAAGGUAAAAACAAAUGAAAUUAGCACAUUAACUUACAAUUAUAUACCCUUUCUUUUCCCUCCUUUUCUACUCUAUAUCUCUCUAAUGUCUGAACUAAAACCCUCACUUUCUCUCCCUUCCUAUUUCCCUAUUGCAAUUAUACCCACCUCGUUUCCCCUCAAUAUCAUAAACCUCCAUGUUCGGGAUGGUCUUACGCUGCCGUAUUAACCUCCUCCUACGGCUUCAACAGUACCAGCUUCGACGGUUCCUCCGGUUGUUCCGCCGAUACGUCGUCACCUGGCCUUCGAUUCGACGAAGCCGCCGUUUGUUCAUCCCGAUGAUUAUCACAGAUUUUCAUCUAGUAAUAGUCGUGGAAUCGUCACCGAUCAGGAAGUUGAAGCUGAACAUUUAAUGCUGUGCUCUAUAUGAAGAAAGCUUGAUGGGUGUUAGUUCUUUUGAUGUUUGUAGAAUAAUAAAAGAAAACUUCUCAAGUUUAUUGGAUGCUAACAUAUUGUUAUAUACAAGCAAGGAAAGGAAGUAACAGAAAGUAACAGAAAAAUAACUACUAACUGACUAACAAGAAAUUAAUUUAAAACUAUAUGACUAAUAGCCCCCCUCAAGUUGGAGAGUGAAUGGGAAACAGUCCCAGCUUGGACAAAAUAAGCUGGAAGGGAACAGCAGGCAGAGCUUUGGUGAAGAUGUCAGCAAGCUGGUCUUUGGAAGAAUAAGGAAGCAAUUUGACAACACCGGACAACACUUUUUCACGAACAAGAUGACAGUCGAUCUCAAUAUGUUUAGUACGUUCAUGAAACGUAGGGUUUGCAGCAAUUUAGAGAGCAGAAUUGUUGUCGCAAAAAAAAGCAGUAGGCCUAGAAAUAGACAGAUGCAAAUCAGACAGAAGAAAUCGAAGCCACUGAAUUUCACAAACAGUAGAUGCAAGAGCCCUAUAUUCUGCUUCUGAGGAAGAGCGAGACACGGUGCUUUGCUUCUUGGCUUUCCAACUAAUAAGGGAAUCUCCAUAAAAUAGGUAGUAACCAGUCACGGAGCGACGUGUGAGAGGACAACCAGCCCAAUCAGAGUCACUAAAUGCCUUCAGUGUAGGCGAAGAAGAAGCAGAAAAGAAAAUACCAAAGUCAAUGCAUCCUUUCAGGUAGCGAAGAAUGCGAUGGGCAGCUUUUGAAGGUGAGUGACUAUAGGUCGGUCCAAGAAUUGACUUAACUGUUGAACAACAAAAGCAAGAUCAGGUCUAGUAGAAACCAAAUAUAAUAGGCGUCCAAUAAGUUUUCUGAAAAUAGUGUUAUCAGGAAGUAAUUCGUCAGAAGCAUCGCGAGGGAUUUUAGUAACCAUAGGAGUUGUAACAGGCCUGCAAUCUGAGAAACCAAAAUCAGCCAGUAGAUCGAGAGCAUAUUUUUGCUGGCAAAGAUGAAUACCAGCAAAACUACGAGCAACUUCAAGGCCAAGAAAAUACUUGAGAUCCCCCAAGUCUUUGAUGCUAAAGGCAGAAUGCAAGAAGGCUUUUACCCGUGUGAUUUCUUCCAAAGAAUCACCAGCUAGAAUAACAUCAUCAACAUAAACCAAUAAGGCAGUAAAGGAAAUUUCAUCCUUUUUAACAAACAGAGAAAAAUCUGAAGUAGAUUGAACGUAACCAAUUGUAGUGAGAGCUGCAGUGAGUUUGGCAAACCACUGUCGACUAGCCUGCUUGAGACCAUAUAAUGAUUUUUGCAACUUACAAACCUUAUGGGAAGUGGAGGAAGCAAAACUAAGAGGCAAAAGCAUAUAAACUUCUUCAGUCAAAUCUCCAUGCAGAAAUGCAUUGUUAACAUCAAGCUGGUGCAAAAACCAGUCUUUGGAAGCAGCAAUAGCAAGCAAUAAUCGAACAGUAGUAAUCUUGGCCACAGGGGAAAAAGUAUCAAAAUAAUCAACACCCUCAGUUUGUGUGAAACCUUUAGCAACCAAACGAGUCUUGUAACGCUCAAUAGAACCAUCGGCUCGAUAUUUCACACGAUAGACCCAUUUGCAACCGAUUGCAAUUUUGCCUGAAGGUAAGUCCAUAAUGAUCCAGGUGUUAUUUUGUUCAAGAGCAGAAAUUUCAGCUUGCAUUGCUUCUUGCCAAUGGGGAAUUUUGCUAGCUUGUAAAUAGGUUGUAGGUAUGGGAGAAGCAUUGAUAGCAAGAGUAAUAGGUGUGGCGCAUCGAAGAUGAUUGGCAACAGCUUUGCUGGAAAAGCAGUGAUACUGGUCUAAAUAUGAAGGAGGUUUCCUAAGACGAGGUGGCCUAGAGGGUUGUAAAGGAACGGGAGGUGAGGGUUGUGAUUGAAUUGGCAAGUCAUAGGUAAUGGUGGGGUCAAAGGUUAACUGUGGGAUGGAAGAGGAAGAAGAUGGUUGUUGAGAAAAAGGGAAAACGGACUCAUGGAAAUGGACAUUUUUGGAUAUAAAAAUGGCAUGGGUUGAUAGAUCAAAAAGAAUAUAGCCUUUGACAUGAGGUGGAAAACCAAGAAAGACACACUCACGUGCUCGAGGAUCCAACUUAUGACGAUGAGCAGUAAGAGUGGUUGCAAAACAAAGACAGCCAAAGACACGGAGGUGCUGAAAAGAUGGCUUAGUUUGGUAUAACUUGUCAAAAGGGGUAAGGUUAGCCAAAAUGGGAGUAGGGGUACGAUUAAUAAGAAAAACAACAUGAAGAAUAGCAUGUCCCCAAAAAUGCUUAGGCAAAUGAGAAUGAAAUAAGAGAGCCCGUGCAACAUUAAAAAUGUGUUGGUGCUUGCGUUCUACAAGACCGUUUUGUUGUGGGGUUUCAACACAUGUAGUUUGAUGAAUUGUGCCUUUGGAAGCAUAAAAGGCUAGAAUGACAAACUCACAACCAUUGUCAGAUCGAAUGACUUUAAUUUUAGAUGAAAAUUGAGUUUCAACAAGUGUGAAAAAAUUCUGAAUGUGAGUACGAACUUCAGAUUUUGCUUUCAAUAAAAUAAUCCAAGUAAAGCGACUAAAAUCAUCAACAAUGGUUAAAAAAUAACGAUGACCAGUAAUGGAAAUAACAUCAGUUGGACCCCAAAUAUCAACAUGAACAAGUUCAAAAAUUUUAUUGGAAAUGGAAGUGCUUACAGGAAAAGAUAAUUUCUUUUGUUUGGCCAAAUGGCAGGCUGUACAAGGUGCAUUAUUUGACAAAGACAAAGAAGGAAUGUAAGGGAAAAGUAGUUUUAGUCGAGAAUCAGAAAGAUGACCGAGACGAUGAUGCCAAAGGGAACAUGAAGAUGUGUUGGCUGACAAGGCAAUGGGAGCAGAAAUGGAAAAAGUUUGAGCUGGGAAAUCCAAAAUAUAAAGACCAUGGAGCACUCUAGCUGUACCAAUCAUAUUCGAAGAAGGAAGAGCCUGUAUAGAACAAUGAUUUUUAUGAAAAGUAAAGGAACAAGGUAAUAUAGCAGUGAGUUUAGUAACAGAUAAAAGAUUAAAGGUAAAUUGAGGAACAUAGAGAACAUUAGUAAUGUAAAGACUAUUAUUGAAAAUGACUGUACCAGAAAUUCGAGCACAAACUUUAGUGCCAUUUGGAAGGUUGAUGUAUAUAGGUUUAAUGGAAUGAAAAGAAGCAAAAAACGAUAAAGAGUGAGCAAUGUGAUCAGUGGCACCUGUGUCAAUGAUCCAAUGAUGGGAUUGAAGAGAAAAGAGGUUACCUGAGGAUGGGAAAGGGUUCGGUUGUGAGGAAGAAUCAGUAUUGGUAACAUGAGGUGGGGAGGUAGAUGCUGGAAGUAAUGCAAGUAGCUGUUGCAACUGAUCUUGUGUCAAAGUAACAGAAGGAUCAGAUGGCAAAAUAUCAACAUGCUGCGAAGAGUCCAAAGGUUGUGAAGCACAAUCAUUAAGCGCUGUAUGUGCACGAGAGGCCCGACCUCGAGACUUGUAACCAGGUGGAUAUCCAUGCUUUUCAUAACAAGUAUCAACAGUAUGCCUGGAUUUGCCACAGAAGGUACAUUACCGUGAAUCAGUAAAUGAUUUAGCCUGAGGUUUCUUUGAAGAACUGUGGUGGCGCAGUGUGUUGCUAACAAACAACUGAGAUGAGCCAGUAGGAAGGUGACGUUCUUGUUGAAUAACCAGGGAAAAUACUUUGUUGAUUGGAGGCAAGGGAUCAAUAAGCAUGAUUUGAGAACGAACAGCAGCAAAUCGAUCAUGAAGACCCUUAAGAAAACGAAUAACGUAGUCGUUAUCAUGAUAUUUCUGGAGAGUGACAAAAACACCGCAAGAGCAAGAUGGUGAACAAGAACAAACUGGAAUUGGUCGAAAAUUCAUCAACUCAUCCUAGAGAAUUUUUAACUCAGUAAAGUAAUCAGUAACGGAACGAUCAUCUUGCUUGAAAGCAUUGAUCUCUUCUUGGAGAGCAGAAAUGCGGAAAACAUCACUUUGAGAAAAGCGUUCACGAAGAUCGCGCCAAACAUCAUAAGCAAAGUCGAGCCAAAGAACACUGUUCAUGAUCGAGGGCGAGAUGGAAUGGUGCAACCAAGAAAGCACCAUAGUGUUACAUCGUUCCCAGGCAGAAUAAAGAGGAUCCGUUCGAGGUGGAACCGUGAUGGUGCCGUCAACAAACUGAAGCUUGUUCUUGGAUAGAAAUGCCAUUGUCAUAGCUCGAGACCAAGAGUGAUAGUUUGAGCUUGAUAAGACAGGAGAAACAAGAACCAAAGCUGGAUUUUCAUUUGGAUGCAGAUAGUAUGGGCUAGAAGGCAGCAUAGUAUCAUGAAAUGCCAUUGGAAGAAAAGGGAAUCAAGAAUGCAGAUUAUGGAGAAAGCAAAAUAUAACGUCUGAUACCAUGUAGAAUAAUAAAAGAAAACUUCUCAAGUUUUUUGGAUGCUAACGUAUUGUUAUAUACAAGCAAGGAAAGGAAGUAACAGAAAGUAACAGAAAAAUAACUACUAACUGACUAACAAGAAAUUAAUUUAAAACUAUAUGACUAAUAAUGUUUUGUCUUUGAUGGAUGUUUGAAAAAUGAUUCAGUUGAUAUCCAUAAUGUCUAUCACUAUAGUUUCCCCCUUAUGCAUAAUUCGACUGCUCUGCUAGUUUUGUCGGACAAAAUUAUAUUCGCAUAUUAUAUUCUUUUUCUUUAUUGUCUUCAACGCGAUAACAAGUGAAUUACUAGUUACUUUACUUGAUUUUUUCAUGGCAUUUAUCUCUUUGAGUUUUGGCCUUUGUGAAUUAACUUUUGAAUCAAGUAGCGAAGCAUUUCUGAUGGUUCUUAUGGCUAACAGUAAGUUUUCUUGUACAAGCUGUCGCACUUAUGCAUUUGUUAAACUUAUGCUCUUUUUUAUUUUAUUUUCUUCAAUUCAAUUGGUUGUUAACGUUGACAUAACCGUGCACAAAUACUAAGGGACCUUGUAAUUUUGCCUGCCAUUGGCGGUACUUUGAAAUAUUGCUGAUUUUUCUCAGCAAUUAAAAAGGAAGAGCGCAGCAGACAAAAAUGAUGUUGAGUCUAGCCAAUGGACAAGCAGUCCGGGGGUUACCUGUAUAUGCUAAAGGAGGAAGGAUAAAUAAUAGAUCAAAGACAUCAAAAGCCAAUAAAUCAAUGCCUCACACACCUGUGUCAAAUGCUGGUGCGAUACUAUUUCCUACUGGCUUUGUCCAUAGAAGGAAACUUAUGAUUCACCCCACGGCUCUAUCAUCAAUGCCUCAUUGCUCCAAUUAAGAGAGAUGGAUUUUGUAGAAGAGGAAUCACUGACAUUAUAAAUGAUAAUUGGCAGGUUGUCCAUCUCCUCUUACACCUGUGGCAGCUGCUGUUUAGAUAGUCCUUUAGUUAAUCUUUACUGCCCAUUCUUUUUUCUUUUACUAUAGUCUGUUUUAGCUCCUUAACCUGCUAUGGAUGGUGAGAACGACAAUAAUGCAGUCCCCAUUUUUAGGUCUGUUGACGAAAAAGUUUGUCAAUCUGAUGAAGCAUGCUGAUUUGUCAAUCUGAUGAAGCAUGCUGAAGAUGGUAUCCUUGACCUAAAUAAGGCUGCAGAAACAUUGGAGGUAAUGAAAUACUAGCGAGCUUAUGUAUCAUUGGGUGUUUGUUGAGUAUUUUUUUCAUGUUACUUAAAGGGUUCUUUUGUCCUUUAUUUUUCCCUGUAAAUGUUGUAACAGGUGCAGAAGAGGAGGAUAUAUGAUAUAACAAAUGUCUUGGAGGGCAUCCCUUCAUUUGAAUACUGUUUGGAACCCUAAAAAAACAUAAAUGUGUUUUUUCCUGAGAUGGCACGUAUUUUGCAAUAAGAAAAAUAAAGAGUACAAUUAAAAUGUUUAUGCAGUUCGGAACUUGUCCUAUGUCUGCGGAGCUUUGCCCAAAGAUGAAUCCACUAUGAACUUUAUAGUACAAAGAAAUGAUUUAAGCUUAACCCCUCAAACACUUUAUGCAAAUUCUCACUUUUGUACAAUUAAGUAAAUUCUCUCCCAACUCAUUUUAGCUAUGCAAGUGAAAAUUCACAUUCAACACUCACAUGAUUUUCCUACUAUGAAUAAGUUCUUAAUAAGCUCCAUGUAAAGUGGAAUAAUAAAUUUUCAAAUGCAAUAUGUCUGGGAAUUGUCAUGCUUGAACAACGACUCUUCCAAAAGCAUCAAUGAAUCUGAAAAUUAUAAAUGCCAACAUAGAAUAUGUUACAAAUCCCGUUAUUAUCAGCCUUAUAUUUACACAUAUGUCUGUUUAGUAUAAUGCUGUUGAUAUAUAAAUAAUGAAACAUUUUAUCAACUUCAACCUCACCACCGAAUAUUCUGAAGCAUUUUCCUUUUUUUCCUGUUUGGACCUUCAAUAACAAAUUUGGCUGGAAUUCCAAACAGCUAAAAGAGUGCCCUGCAUCAAUGAAUAUUAAGAUGGUAAGCAAAAACAUAAAUAUAUAUAAAGAUAUGAUAGGUAAGUGCUUAAAUGAAGAAAGCAGAGCAUAUAGUACAACCAUUUUGAAGGCUUCAUGGGCCUCUCUCUCCACAUCAAUCAUUUUUUAGAAUCAAAAUAUUAGAAGCAAAUAGAUGAAUUAUCACCUCUUUUUAUGCAUAUAGAAUGAUUGAAGUUGACUAAUGCCUUUCUCCAAUGCCUUACUGCACAAAUCAGCAAAUAUAUUAUGAAAGAUGAUAAGUAAAAAGUAGGAUGAAAACAAAGGGAUUUUAACAAGGAAAUUAACAGUAUCCAACUUCAAUGAAAAAUGGCAUCAGACCCCUGACUUGGAGAUUCAAUAUACCACUCUUAUUUUUCUUCAAAAAAAGAUAAGGUCAUCAAAAUAAAUAAAUAACAAAGACAGACCAACCUGAUAUGACCCAAUGUUGGGGAUGUGAGCAAUCUUUUGCCAAUCAGCGCCAAUGUCCUUCCGACAUCUUUCCUCCAACUGAGGAAUUCCUUUUAUGUGUAAAUACUCCAAACUGGUUAGGCAACGCAUCCCGUCCGGAAGAGAUGUUAAAUUUGGCAAAUUAACAAGAUGAAGCCGUUGCAGAUUUGUUAGAUGUUGAAGCCACUCCGGAAGAUGCCGACACUUUGGAAUAUAUUCCAGCCGUAGAGAGCGUAGUCUUGUAUGAUCUUGGAAUAUUUGGAUGCCAGCUCCAGAUAACUCCAGCUCCUCGCAGUUCCUUACUUCAAACUCUUCAAGGAAAGUGAGAUGUUGGAACACAGGAAGCAGUGACCUCAAUCCAUUCCAGUUAUGAAUUUUUAAUGUUUUCAAUUGAACAAGAUGUUGAAGCCCAAUGGGGAGAGACACCAGCUUUGGAAUAUUAUCAAUCUCCAAAUGAGAGAGAUUCUUAAGGGGUUCCCAUUGCAUGCCCUCUAAAUCAACCUCCUUGCAAUCUCGUAUUGUUAAUCUUUUGAGGCUGGUGAGAUGUUGCAGGCACUCAUCUAGCGUGUAAGUGUCCAACCCCUCAAUGUUGUGUACAUCGAAAGAUUUCAUUUUGGAGAGUGGAAGAGAAGAGGUUGAAGUUGAUGGGGCCUUAGCAUUGAUGUUCAUCUUGAUAGUCUGCUUUAACGGCCUUGAACUGGUAUUCGACAACAUUAGAUCUUCACCGAGUGAUGGAUACAGUGGCAUUAAAGUCAAAGGGCAAUUUUGAAUUGUUAAAGAGG